This is a long non-coding RNA of Triticum aestivum (bread wheat), 3052 nucleotides long. RefSeq lists it as uncharacterized. The record is from RefSeq and is a predicted model, not a curated record. The transcript is spliced from 3 exons. NCBI's taxonomy places the organism in Eukaryota, Viridiplantae, Streptophyta, Magnoliopsida, Poales, Poaceae.
CCUACGCUUCCCCUUCCGGUUCUGCCGUUCUCUAUUGGUUCUUUCGUCCAUCCCAAAAAUCAGGGAUCUCCCAGAGUAAUCACGAAGGAAUGCCAUCCCACCUCUCGUCCCUUAUUCCUUCUCUCGUAAGGAGAGAUCGCCGCCUGGGGUUCCGCCUGCCGCCGCCGCACCCCCACUGCCUGUUACCUCUUCCGAACUCCAUGAAGCCGUCCCGGCAUCAGCUGCCGACCAGCCUCUACGCAGUGGCCGAUCCUGCCGCCUCGCCGAGCUUCGAUUUCUCAUGGUGGUCCGCCACAAUGGUGCCUUCUCCCUUGAGAUCGGGAGCCGUGCAAAGCUACCAUACGAGGCGAUGACCAAGGCGUCCAAAUUGUACUGGAUCCACUCCCGGGCGCGCUGGUUCGGUGAACGGCUCAACGGCACCUGGCCGCUGGGGCCUUCCUACGCGGUCACCGUGCGCACUGGGAAGCGGUGGGAGGAGGCCAUCGAUGAUGCCAUGGUCUGGAUGUCCGAGCCCAAGUAUUCGCCAUUCUGGCAUAGGACCUCCUAGUUUGCUCUGCCCUGGUCUCCACGAGCUUGUCAACCAUGGCGGCUGGCUUCAUCUCCCUUCAGAUUAUGCUGGUGGUUCUAGAGCCGGUUCCUCUACCAUUUUUUUUAUUAAUGGUUCUAUUCUUGAAGGAUUGAUUAAUGGUUCUUGCCUUUUUGGUACGUGCACUGGUUGGGAAGCUGAUGAACUGCAGUCGUGGGUGCGGCUGCAUGCCUACAACACUUGCAUCAUUGAGGUACUCGCUCUUCUAGAAAACAUACUAACUGCAUGAUGUGUAGCUGGGAGCCUGGGAAUUGCAUGUUACAGUGCCAUGUUAGAUGUUACACAGGCAGUCCCUCACCUGUCUUGGUGUGGUGGUUUGGUCUUGGUCUUGGAUUGCAAAGCUCGGCUUGGGAUUUUGCUACUGCUCUAAUUCGGUAAGGAUUCUGAUGGGAGACAAUAUAUGAAAAGAACUUUCCACAAGUAACCCCAACUGGUUAUAUUGUCAGACUAUAUCAAAAGUAACGCCAUACAGAGGCAUACUUGAUGUGUGACAGAGGUAAUGUUCUAUUAGUGUUCUUCCUGAUCUUUACCCUCACAGUUUGCACCUCUCCAAGAAUGAAAUUAACUCAUGUCUUUUAUAUUAUUCCCUUUUAAAUGAUAAAAAAGACCAAAAAGUGUGAUGUCCUUUUAGAUGAUUGACAGGUUUAUAUUACUUUGUUAUGCUUCCGCUCAUUUUGCAACUGCAUCACGUAAUUGGGUUUCUGUAGCUUUACGUCUACAAACUAUGAUUUUUGUGACAGAAUCUUUAACAGAACACCUAGGCUUCUCAACAUUGCAGCGGCCAAGCUCUUCGGUCAUUCUACUGAAAUUUGUUGUAUACUUCAUAAGUGGGUUUUAGGCUUUUGGGCUAAGAAAUAUAGGUUGUUAAGUUCAUCAGUUCAGCAGUCUUGCAGAAUAGUACAAUGAACAAGAAGCCUGCAUUUGUUGAUUUUAUUCAUUUGAUAGUAAUUAGGCUAAGUCGAAGGGCUAGCUGGACUUAUGAACAGCAGGUCACCUUUUAAGGGGUCUCUGAAAGAAGUGUUUAAGCAUCUGCAAUUGUGCUGUGGUAAAAUAUACUGAUGUUGGUGUUUCUUUUCAAGAUUAUACGAUUGUUUACCCAUUUGGUCCAUGUUUUGUCUACUAAAAUUAUUUUUCUAUUCCUUGUGGAUAAUUUGCUUCAGUUCAUUUGUUUAUCUAAACAUAUGUUGGGCAUUAGUUCACCAAUCAUGAGAUCUCUGAAUUUCGAAGGCGAAUGGUAUUUUCUGAAUUAUCACUGUUAAGUGGGAGAAGUGAGAUAGAGAAUGAAGAAUUGUUCGUUCGUAAAGUUUUACCAAUGUAAUUGUGUUUAUUUCAAGAUUCUAUCAUUAUGUACCAUUUUUAUCACUAGAAUAAUAUAAUUAUUUACUUAUUUACAAUUUCUUGCAGAUACUUUGCUUGGACUCAAAGUGCAUGUAAUGCUUGCAACUGGAGGUUACUUUUUUUUGUCUUCCUCUAUUAUUCUCGUUUCAAGUUGUGUGAUCCUCUAAUAUGCAGAGAUUCCUGAUUGAGGGCAAUUCCAGGGUUGUUGCAUAUUUCGCAAAGUACUGGGAGAAGGACAAGUAGCUCCAUUGUAUUUACUGUGUCAUGACAGAGCUGCGCUUAGUUAACUGGAGUAGCUCCACAUCAUCUAGAAGACUAGAACCAAAGGUCUUCGUUGUUUAAGUUGUGCAAUUCUAAAUCUCAAAUCCAAUCAAUCAACAACCUAUCAACCAACUCUUGAACGUUCUUCUAUAUGUAUGGUUGUAUGUAUCCAUAUGGUACGUCGCGGUGGUCACGGACGAGGGGGGCGUUGUGCUUAGUUCAUAGGCUUAUUAUCACAUUCUCUGUGCAAUGGGUUCACUUUAUGGUAAGAAACUUUGAGUGAAAAUUGCUAAAAAUAGAUCUUGAUGGAUAAAUUGUUAAUCAUGUCUAUGCGACAGACCUUUGUCAACUGCUAUUCACACGCAGGAUUCGUUGAUUGGUCAUCGUGGAGACAUAUUACUCACACAUGUCAAAAGGAUUUUGUUUGCCCACAUUUAGGCUGUGCUAAGAUGAACUGGCAUGCCAAUUCUAUCUAACUGGAGAUGUUCCACUGAUUUGUUUACAUAAACUUUCCUCUGACGGGUGAUGUGGUUCAAUAACCUCGAAGACGGCUACCUCUCCUUCCUCGAGAUCGUUGCUGCCGUAGUCAUCGCUAGAACAAGAGGAUCAAAGCUGAAGAUGCAUCAGCAAUUGCAUCCGACGAGGGGGCUGGAGAAGAAGUAACCAAUACAAUAUGAUGGGGGCCCUAUCAGUGAUGGACGAGAUGGUCUCGAUCCGUAGAAAGAGGAGGACGGCAACACAACAAUGUUGGAGAUUAGAGAAAUUAAGAGAAACAGGAGUGGCACGGGGACUUGAUGUUGCCGAUGGUUUGCGUGCUUGCUGUUGUGUGUUUGUGCUUAAUGUGUUUGCAAAGGCUCGUGAUUUUGU